This 943-nucleotide ribosomal RNA is filed under the name uncultured bacterium. RNAcentral's name for it is "bacterial SSU rRNA". It matches the Rfam family "Bacterial small subunit ribosomal RNA", at positions 8 to 998 of the family's 1533-position model. The record is from RNAcentral.
AGAGUUUGAUCAUGGCUCAGAAUCAACGCUGGCGGCGUGCCUGACACAUGCAAGUCGAACGAGAAAGUGGAGCAAUCCAUGAGUAAAGUGGCGCACGGGUGAGUAACACGUGACUAACCUACCCUUGAGUGGGGGAUAACCUAGGGAAACCUGGGCUAAUACCGCAUAAUACCUACGGGUCAAAGGAGCAAUUCGCUCGAGGAGGGGGUCGCGGCCGAUUAGUUAGUUGGCGGGGUAAUGGCCCACCAAGACUAUGAUCGGUAUCCGGCCUGAGAGGGCGCACGGACACACUGGAACUGAAACACGGUCCAGACUCCUACGGGAGGCAGCAGUGGGGAAUUUUGCGCAAUGGGGGAAACCCUGACGCAGCAACGCCGCGUGGAGGAUGAAGUCCUUCGGGACGUAAACUCCUUUCGAUCGGGACGAUUAUGACGGUACCGGAAGAAGAAGCCCCGGCUAACUUCGUGCCAGCAGCCGCGGUAAUACGAGGGGGGCGAGCGUUGUUCGGAAUUAUUGGGCGUAAAGGGUGCGUAGGUGGUUUGGUAAGUCUUGUGUGAAAUCUCUGGGCUCAACUCAGAGUCUGCACGAGAAACUGCCGGGCUUGAGUAUGGGAGAGGUGAGUGGAAUUCCUGGUGUAGCGGUGAAAUGCGUAGAUAUCAGGAGGAACACCUGUGGCGAAAGCGGCUCACUGGACCAUAACUGACGCUGAUGCACGAAAGCUAGGGGAGCAAACAGGAUUAGAUACCCUGGUAGUCCUAGCCCUAAACGAUGACUGCUUGGUGUGACGGGUACCCAAUCCCGCCGUGCCGUAGCUAACGCGUUAGCAGUCCGCCUGGGGAGUACGUCGCAGCUGAAACUCAAAGAUGACGGGGCCCGCACAGCGUGAGCAUGUGUUUAAUCGACGCAACGCGAGAACUUACUGGGCUCGAAUGUAUGACCGGAG